RNAcentral lists this ribosomal RNA (627 nucleotides) under Tetracladium setigerum. RNAcentral's name for it is "eukaryotic LSU rRNA". It matches the Rfam family "Eukaryotic large subunit ribosomal RNA", at positions 36 to 676 of the family's 3401-position model. Lineage: Eukaryota; Fungi; Ascomycota; Leotiomycetes; Helotiales. The record is from RNAcentral.
GUGCACUAUCCAUAAGCGGAGGAAAAGAAACCAACAGGGAUUGCCUCAGUAAYGGCGAGUGAAGCGGCAAAAGCUCAAAUUUGAAAUCUGGCUCUUUCAGGGUCCGAGUUGUAAUUUGUAGAAGAUGCUUUGGGUGYGGCUCUGGUUUAAGUUCUUUGGAAUAUUACAUCAUAGAGGGUGAGAAUCCCGUAUGUGACCAGUCGCCGCGCCCGUGUAAAGCUCUUUCAMCGAGUCGAGUUGUUUGGGAAUGCAGCUCAAAAUGGGAGGUAUAUUUCUUCUAAAGCUAAAUAUUGGCCAGAGACCGAUAGCGCACAAGUAGAGUGAUCGAAAGAUGAAAAGCACUUUGGAAAGAGAGUUAAACAGUACGUGAAAUUGUUGAAAGGGAAGCGCUUGCAACCAGACUUGCACGCAGUUGAUCAUCCGGUGUUCUCACCGGGGCACUCUGCUGCGUUCAGGCCAGCAUCGUUUUUGGUGGUUGGAUAAAGGCCUUGGGAAUGUAGCUUCUUUCGGGGAGUGUUAUAGCCCUCGGUGCAAUGCAGCCUACCGGGAACGAGGACCGCGCUUCGGCUAGGAUGCUGGCGWARUGGUUGUAAGCGGCCCGUCUUGAAACACGGACAGAAGGAGUCA